GCUUGCUUCUCUUGAGAGCGGCGGACGGGUGAGUAAUGCCUAGGAAUCUGCCUGGUAGUGGGGGAUAACGUUCGGAAACGAACGCUAAUACCGCAUACGUCCUACGGGAGAAAGCAGGGGACCUUCGGGCCUUGCGCUAUCAGAUGAGCCUAGGUCGGAUUAGCUAGUUGGUGAGGUAAUGGCUCACCAAGGCGACGAUCCGUAACUGGUCUGAGAGGAUGAUCAGUCACACUGGAACUGAGACACGGUCCAGACUCCUACGGGAGGCAGCAKUGGGGAAUAUUGGACAAUGGGCGAAAGCCUGAUCCAGCCAUGCCGCGUGUGUGAAGAAGGUCUUCGGAUUGUAAAGCACUUUAAGUUGGGAGGAAGGGCAUUAACCUAAUACGUUAGUGUUUUGACGUUACCGACAGAAUAAGCACCGGCUAACUCUGUGCCAGCAGCCGCGGUAAUACAGAGGGUGCAAGCGUUAAUCGGAAUUACUGGGCGUAAAGCGCGCGUAGGUGGUUUGUUAAGUUGGAUGUGAAAUCCCCGGGCUCAACCUGGGAACUGCAUUCAAAACUGACUGACUAGAGUAUGGUAGAGGGUGGUGGAAUUUCCUGUGUAGCGGUGAAAUGCGUAGAUAUAGGAAGGAACACCAGUGGCGAAGGCGACCACCUGGACUAAUACUGACACUGAGGUGCGAAAGCGUGGGGAGCAAACAGGAUUAGAUACCCUGGUAGUCCACGCCGUAAACGAUGUCAACUAGCCGUUGGAAGCCUUGAGCUUUUAGUGGCGCAGCUAACGCAUUAAGUUGACCGCCUGGGGAGUACGGCCGCAAGGUUAAAACUCAAAUGAAUUGACGGGGGCCCGCACAAGCGGUGGAGCAUGUGGUUUAAUUCGAAGCAACGCGAAGAACCUUMCCAGGCCUUGACAUCCAAUGAACUUUCUAGAGAUAGAUUGGUGCCUUCGGGAACAUUGAGACAGGUGCUGCAUGGCUGUCGUCAGCUCGYGUCGUGAGAUGUUGGGUUAAGUCCCGUAACGAGCGCAACCCUUGUCCUUAGUUACCAGCACGUAAUGGUGGGCACUCUAAGGAGACUGCCGGUGACAAACCGGAGGAAGGUGGGGWUGACGUCAAGUCAUCAUGGCCCUUACGGCCUGGGCUACACACGUGCUACAAUGGUCGGUACAGAGGGUUGCCAAGCCGCGAGGUGGAGCUAAUCCCAUAAAACCGAUCGUAGUCCGGAUCGCAGUCUGCAACUCGACUGCGUGAAGUCGGAAUCGCUAGUAAUCGCGAAUCAGAAUGUCGCGGUGAAUACGUUCCCGGGCCUUGUACACACCGCCCGUCACACCAUGGGAGUGGGUGCACCAGAAGUAGCUAGUCUAACC
This 1365-nucleotide ribosomal RNA is filed under the name Pseudomonas fluorescens. Its description in RNAcentral is "bacterial SSU rRNA". The record is from RNAcentral. Lineage: Bacteria; Pseudomonadati; Pseudomonadota; Gammaproteobacteria; Pseudomonadales; Pseudomonadaceae.